Molecule: transfer RNA, 71 nt
Filed under: Cordylochernes scorpioides
Lineage: Eukaryota; Metazoa; Arthropoda; Arachnida; Pseudoscorpiones; Chernetidae
Description: tRNA-Gly
Source: RNAcentral
UGCAUCGGCCGGGAAUCGAACCCGGGAAGCCCGCGUGGCAGGCGAGCAUUCUACCACUGAACCACCGAUGG